UGUAUGCAUUGUAAUCAGUACUUUGAAAUUACAGAAUUUUUCGGACUGUAAGACAUACCAGACCAUAAGACGCACCUAGGGUUUAGAGGAGGAAAAUAGAGAAAAAAUUUUGAAGCAAAAAAUGUGGUAAAAUAUUUAAUAACAUAAAUAACACAGGCGGCUGCCCCCAUUCCCCACAG
This is a long non-coding RNA of Phyllostomus discolor (pale spear-nosed bat), 179 nucleotides long. RefSeq lists it as uncharacterized. The transcript is spliced from 3 exons. NCBI's taxonomy places the organism in Eukaryota, Metazoa, Chordata, Mammalia, Chiroptera, Phyllostomidae. The record is from RefSeq and is a predicted model, not a curated record.